Molecule: ribosomal RNA, 118 nt
Filed under: Olea europaea subsp. europaea
Lineage: Eukaryota; Viridiplantae; Streptophyta; Magnoliopsida; Lamiales; Oleaceae
Source: RNAcentral
ACCAACGACUGUGCUGGGUUGAAUACACCAGUUCUUGGCCGAUCACUGAAUCUAAAUGGCGUUGGGCGUGAUAGGUACUUCGAUGGGUCAUCGCGUGGGACAUCAUGUGUUGUUGGUU